Long non-coding RNA from Oncorhynchus tshawytscha (Chinook salmon), 1293 nucleotides. The record is from Ensembl. NCBI's taxonomy places the organism in Eukaryota, Metazoa, Chordata, Actinopteri, Salmoniformes, Salmonidae.
GGGAGAGAAAGCCACAAGCCACUAUGAAAUACCACAGUAAAUCAGCUUUAGAAAAACAACAAAAACUAUUUUAGAAGUUUCUUCUUUUUAUGUACACAUUUAUAUAUUUAUACACUGUACAGAUUAAAAAAUAAAAUAAAAAUGGUUGAAAUAUAAGAUUGUGCACCCCACAGAUGUGUGACUAAAGAGAGAACAGAAGAGAGCAAGAAAUGGGACAAAGGGAUGUCAAGGACAUACAGAUAUCAACAUCCCCAAUUAACACUGAUGAGUUUUUACAUACACAAUUUUCAUUUAUCCUUUAUACAAUUUCACAAAAUCCUGGCCUAUUUUGGCCAAUCCUCCUCGUAUCUCCACCAAUAUCUGUGUAGAGAGCCCUAAUCAGACAUUUAGGGUGAUUUCAAUCUGAGUGACCACUGAUCAGUUUUCAGAUUUAUUUAGAUCUGUGUUUUGAAUUGUUACUGGGCUUUUCUAGAGCCAAGGAAGGACUCUACUAAGAAUCCCAGCUCAAUGCCUCAGAGGCAAAUGGACCAUACCGGGCUUCCUAUUUUAUUUUCAGACAAAUAAUUCAUUUUCACCUGAAUCGUGCCAUUUUAUCUGUUUCCUAUUCUGGCUGAUCUUUUCAAUUUAAUGCUGCAUCAGAUGCAUAAUGAUGUAUCGUUUGCGUGUGUGCUCAGUAUGAGGCAGGGAGGUGACUGUUCCCAGUUAUUUUAGAAACAGGUAGGUGCUCUGCUAUGUUCUGCUCUGCCUGGAGAGAUGGCAGUGAUGCAAAUGAGGUGAUGAUCAUUGUCUGUCUCACCUUUUCUCUGUGACACUUGGGGAGUGAGAGCAUAUGGAGGAGAGAGGGGAGGGGUGUUGUUUAAGAGCACCUUGUGCCAAAAAGCAUGUGUGUCACAGUGGGGUUUUGAAGUACGUCAGCACUGACGUAUGGAGACCUCGCCUGUCUUAGUCUCUGUGUGUUGGGCCAGACCUAGAGGGGAGGGACGUGUUGAGCCAGACCUGGAGCGGAGGGACGUGUUGGGCCAGACCUAGAGCGGAGGGACAGUGUGUUGGGCCAGACGUAGAGGGGAGGGACAGUGUGUUGGGCCAGACCUAGAGCGGAGGGAGAGUGUGUUGGGCCAGACCUAGAGCGGAGGGACAUGUUGGGCCAGACCUAGAGCGGAGGGACAGUGUGUUGGGCCAGACCUAGAGGGGAGGGACAGCGUGUUGGGCCAGACCUAGAGCGGAGGGACAGUGUGUUGGGCCAGACCUAGAGCGGAGGGACAGUGUGUUGGGCCAGACCUAGAGCGGAGGGAC